This 340-nucleotide long non-coding RNA is filed under the name Cyanistes caeruleus (blue tit). RNAcentral describes it as "lncRNA (ENSCCEG00000022186.1)". Lineage: Eukaryota; Metazoa; Chordata; Aves; Passeriformes; Paridae. The record is from RNAcentral.
UUUGUGAUAUAUAUUGAGUUUUCCCAAGGGUACCUUCUGGAAUGCUUAGCUAAUAUCUUAAUUAAGACAUUUUGUUUUCACAGCAGCUCUACAGUGUGAAGAAGGUACAGCCUCAUCUUAUGAAGUAUGACAAAAGUGCAGAGAAGUUGGUUCAGGAGUUUCUGCUAAGUUUGUGACUCCAGUCUGAGUACUCUGCUAACUGGGAAAAUGAUAAUUUUGUUCAUGACACAGAUUAAGGUAAGGAACCAAUCCACUGAACAGCAUUGCACAGGUACAGAAUAACUUGGAAAAGUCCAAGCUGAACUGAAGUCACAGUGGCUGGAACAGAGGUCAAAUGUAU